This 800-nucleotide long non-coding RNA is filed under the name Equus caballus (horse). RNAcentral's name for it is "lncRNA (ENSECAG00000028020.3)". The record is from RNAcentral. Lineage: Eukaryota; Metazoa; Chordata; Mammalia; Perissodactyla; Equidae.
AUUUACAGAAAGAUAAAGCACACCUGAAAAAUGCCCUCAUAAGACCAACUAAAUGAUCAAUAAAGUAAAUUAGUAUUUUAAGACUAAUGACUUCUUCACCGCAAGACAAUGGCUAAAAGAACAUAGGUUCAAAAUGUAUAGAGAAAUGCUUCCUCCACCACGAGUCAGCCUCCUCAUUUUCUGCAGCAUUUUCCAUCUGUGUCAUUGGCGUAGUACACACGUGCCUGACCUAGAUGUUUACUGGCAUUUGCAGCAUCGUGAUUAUCUUCCUCAUCAUUAUCUUUGAAGCCCAACUGAAAUGAUGCCCUGUAACUACGGGUCUGUGAGUUGUUUUGGAACAGGAUGUAUCAGCCUGUCAGCAUUGUUUGAGAGCUCAAGAACUAUUUGCUGACUAGCUAAAGAAUCUUCAGGUUGAAACAGAAUCUUAAAGAUCUGAGGUAAAUGAAUACAGUUAAGUGUAACUGAAGAGGAACCGGUAAGAAAAGCAACAGAACUGAAGAAUAGCAAUUUCCCCGAGAGAGAGAGAGUGAAAGAAAAACUUGUGGUGGAAGCCAGCCAUCAGCAACUCCUAGAGCCAUCCACCUGUUACCCUGGCAUCAGGGAAAGUACAUUAGGUAAUUCAGAUUCUCCUGGGCUCAAAUCCUCGUCUCUGCUGCACAUGACAUCCAAGGCACGUGGUCAGAUUGAUUUUUUACGAUUUCACCAGCAACUGGCGGGCUGCAACAUCACGGAGCUGUUUGAAAUCAUCAUAUGUAAGCUGAUUAUUUGAAGGGAUUUUUCACACACACAUAAUAUUAAAU